Molecule: unclassified non-coding RNA, 375 nt
Filed under: soil metagenome
Description: partial contains 5.8S ribosomal RNA, internal transcribed spacer 2, and large subunit ribosomal RNA
Rfam family: 5.8S ribosomal RNA (bases 1-120)
Source: RNAcentral
GAUGAAGAACGCAGCGAAAUGCGAUAAGUAAUGUGAAUUGCAGAAUUCAGUGAAUCAUCGAAUCUUUGAACGCACAUUGCGCCCGCCAGUAUUCUGGCGGGCAUGCCUGUUCGAGCGUCAUUUCAACCCUCAAGACCCCUUCGGGGGACUUUGUGUUGGGGACCGGCACAGGGGCCUGCCUGCUUGUCUUGCAGCGCCCUCGCCGCCCCCGAAAUGAAUUGGCGGCCUCGUCGCGGCCUCCCCUGCGUAGUAGCACAAACCUCGCAACGGGAACGUGACGGCGGCCACUGCCGUAAAACAACCCAAUUUUAUUAGAGUUGACCUCGAAUCAGGUAGGAAUACCCGCUGAACUUAAGCAUAUCAAUAAGCGGAGGA